Molecule: transfer RNA, 71 nt
Filed under: Bos taurus (domestic cattle)
Lineage: Eukaryota; Metazoa; Chordata; Mammalia; Artiodactyla; Bovidae
Also listed under: 2 other names
Rfam family: tRNA
About the family: Transfer RNA (tRNA) molecules are approximately 80 nucleotides in length. Their secondary structure includes four short double-helical elements and three loops (D, anti-codon, and T loops). Further hydrogen bonds mediate the characteristic L-shaped molecular structure. tRNAs have two regions of fundamental functional importance: the anti-codon, which is responsible for specific mRNA codon recognition, and the 3' end, to which the tRNAs corresponding amino acid is attached (by aminoacyl-tRNA synthetases). tRNAs cope with the degeneracy of the genetic code in two manners: having more than one tRNA (with a specific anti-codon) for a particular amino acid; and 'wobble' base-pairing, i.e. permitting non-standard base-pairing at the 3rd anti-codon position.
Source: Rfam by way of RNAcentral
CCCUGGUAGAUCAGAUGGUAAAGUGUCUGCUUGUAAUGCAGAAAACCUGGGUUCGAUCCCUGGAACAGGAA